This 76-nucleotide transfer RNA is filed under the name Sphingomonas sp. RNAcentral describes it as "tRNA-Thr". It matches the Rfam family "tRNA". Rfam says of the family: Transfer RNA (tRNA) molecules are approximately 80 nucleotides in length. Their secondary structure includes four short double-helical elements and three loops (D, anti-codon, and T loops). The record is from RNAcentral. Lineage: Bacteria; Pseudomonadati; Pseudomonadota; Alphaproteobacteria; Sphingomonadales; Sphingomonadaceae.
GCCGGAUUAGCUCAGUUGGUAGAGCAGCGGUUUUGUAAACCGAAGGUCGGGGGUUCAAAUCCCUCAGCCGGCACCA